GAAGGGUCGAGAUCAAGGAUCCGUCAGCUAUAAAUAGGCUCGAAGGCCAUUCUCUCAGUCUGCUGGGCCUUUGCCAUUCAGAUCUCUCACCUCUCCCGAGAUGCUUGCUUGAAGGUUCUCUAUCUUUCUAUAUGUGAUAUCCGAGGGUUGUGCUUGCUGGCCAAGGUCUUGAUCUAUUUGGAGUUUUUGUUGAUUCGAGAUAUUGAGAUGCUGCUCUUAUGUCCGAAUUUGCGAUGCUGAAUCUUGAUGCUGUCUGAGUUCUUUUC
This 266-nucleotide unclassified non-coding RNA is filed under the name Hevea brasiliensis (rubber tree). Lineage: Eukaryota; Viridiplantae; Streptophyta; Magnoliopsida; Malpighiales; Euphorbiaceae. The record is from RNAcentral.